Molecule: ribosomal RNA, 465 nt
Filed under: Vreelandella stevensii
Lineage: Bacteria; Pseudomonadati; Pseudomonadota; Gammaproteobacteria; Oceanospirillales; Halomonadaceae
Description: partial 16S ribosomal RNA
Rfam family: Bacterial small subunit ribosomal RNA
Source: RNAcentral
CCUACGGGAGGCAGCAGUGGGGAAUAUUGGACAAUGGGGGCAACCCUGAUCCAGCCAUGCCGCGUGUGUGAAGAAGGCCCUCGGGUUGUAAAGCACUUUCAGUGAGGAAGAACGCCUGGUGGUUAAUACCCAUCAGGAAAGACAUCACUCACAGAAGAAGCACCGGCUAACUCCGUGCCAGCAGCCGCGGUAAUACGGAGGGUGCGAGCGUUAAUCGGAAUUACUGGGCGUAAAGCGCGCGUAGGUGGCUUGAUAAGCCGGUUGUGAAAGCCCCGGGCUCAACCUGGGAACGGCAUCCGGAACUGUCAAGCUAGAGUGCAGGAGAGGAAGGUAGAAUUCCCGGUGUAGCGGUGAAAUGCGUAGAGAUCGGGAGGAAUACCAGUGGCGAAGGAGGCCUUCUGGACUGACACUGACACUGAGGUGCGAAAGCGUGGGUAGCAAACAGGAUUAGAUACCCUUGUAGUC